Molecule: non-coding RNA, 105 nt
Organism: Phialemonium atrogriseum
Lineage: Eukaryota; Fungi; Ascomycota; Sordariomycetes; Cephalothecales; Cephalothecaceae
Source: the annotation of a RefSeq genome assembly
GGAACCUUGGCGCAGCUGGUUAGCGCGCAGGUCUCAUACUAUCCUAUGAUUCGGUCACAGAUCGGAGUAAUCCUGAGGUCGUGAGUUCGAUCCUCACAGGUUCCA